AACGAACGCUGGCGGCAUGCCUAACACAUGCAAGUCGAACGAGACCUUCGGGUCUAGUGGCGCACGGGUGCGUAACGCGUGGGAACCUGCCCUUAGGUUCGGAAUAACUCCCCGAAAGGGGUGCUAAUACCGGAUAAUGUCUUCGGACCAAAGAUUUAUCGCCUUUGGAUGGGCCCGCGUGGGAUUAGCUAGUUGGUAGGGUAAAAGCCUACCAAGGCGACGAUCCAUAGCUGGUCUGAGAGGAUGAUCAGCCACACUGGGACUGAGACACGGCCCAGACUCCUACGGGAGGCAGCAGUGGGGAAUAUUGGACAAUGGGCGAAAGCCUGAUCCAGCAAUGCCGCGUGAGUGAUGAAGGCCUUAGGGUUGUAAAGCUCUUUUACCCGGGAUGAUAAUGACAGUACCGGGAGAAUAAGCUCCGGCUAACUCCGUG
This 433-nucleotide ribosomal RNA is filed under the name uncultured bacterium. RNAcentral's name for it is "partial 16S ribosomal RNA". It matches the Rfam family "Bacterial small subunit ribosomal RNA", at positions 29 to 507 of the family's 1533-position model. The record is from RNAcentral.